RNAcentral lists this long non-coding RNA (1499 nucleotides) under Homo sapiens (human). RNAcentral's name for it is "HSALNT0061406". The record is from RNAcentral. Lineage: Eukaryota; Metazoa; Chordata; Mammalia; Primates; Hominidae.
UCAAGAGUAGCUUACACUAGCUGCCUCCAAUUCAUUGAUUCUCUGUUGAACUGACUCUCAUAAGGUUUUCAUCCCACUACUUCAUAGAAACUGCUCUUGUCAAGCAUCUGCGUGACCUCCAAGUUGUUAAAUUCACUGACCAAUUCUCAGUCCUUAUCCCACUGACCUCUCAGCAGCAUUUGCCGUAGUAAUCACUGUUUUCUCCUUGACACUCUUUCUUCCCUUGAUAUCCAGGAUCCACAUUCUGUCUCUCCUAAUACCCCACUGCCCUCACCUCCUCAAACUCUAGGGCUCAGUCCUUAGAUUUCUCUGCCCUCACCCCAGAGUGAUCACACCCAGUCCUGUGGCUCUAAAGGCCAUUUAUAUCUGGGGUGACUCCCAGUGAGUAUCUCCAGCCCAGCCCUCUCCUGUGGGUUCCAGACCCAUAGAUCUUGUAGACUACUCAAGACCUCAGUUUGGCUGUCUCCCUGGCAGGUCAAAUUUAACAGGUACAAGACUGAGCUCUUGAUCUUCCCCACACCCUGCUCCUCCAGAGGAUUUCCCACCCUGUUUACCAGAAAUUCAUCCUUCCAGUUACUCAGGCCCAAAACCUUGGAAUCACCCUUGCUCCUUUUCUGUCACACCCACAAUCCAUCCAUAAGCAAACUAUCUUCCCCCUCCCCUGAUUUCUCACCAGGGUUACUGCAGCAGCCUCCAGACUGGUUUUUCUGUUUUAACCCUUGCCCCUUCUGUCUGUGAUCCUGUUAAAAUGUCCAUCUGAUUGUUGAAAACUUCCAGUGGCUUUCCAUCUCACUCAGAAGGAAAACCUAAGUUCUUGCAGUGAUCAGUACUGCCUCACUGGUCUGCUCUGUUUCCUCUCUGAGGACAUUUCCUGCUGCGGGCCCCUCACUCUGGGCCACCCACACUGACUUUCUUGCUGUUUCUCAAGCUCACCAGGAUUUGAGCCAGCUGUUCCUUCUCCCUGAAGUGCUCUACCCUCAGGCAGUCACAUGGCUCACGCCCUUACCUUCAGGAGGUCUUGACUCUCAUCAUUUUCUCAAUUCAGUCUUGCCUGACCACCCUAUUUAAAAGUGAAGCCUUCUCCCUGGUGUAUCUCAGCACUUCCCUUCUCCUUCCCUGCUUGAUUUUUCUUCACAGCACUUACCACCAUCUGUGGUGGGUUGGAAAACAUGGCCACAGUAUUUUACAGCUACUCCUAUCAACCUGGGCUAGGCUUGUGACCAGUAGAAUGUGGCAGAAGUUAACGGUGUAUCAGCUCCAGAGCCUGGAACUGAAGAGAUCUUGCAGCUUCUGCCUUCACCCUUUUGGAAAACUGCUCUGAGGCCAUCAUGCUUUGAGGAAGCCCAGGAGGAAACACUGCAGAGAGGCUCAACCACCCCAGCUCUCCCAGCUGAGCUCAGCCACCCACCGAUCCCCCAGCUGAAUGCAACCAUAAGAGUGAGUCCAGGGACUCACCCCAUGCAAGCUCUGCAAGUGACAUUUCCCAGCCUCCCUUGCCC